This 433-nucleotide ribosomal RNA is filed under the name uncultured bacterium. Its description in RNAcentral is "partial 16S ribosomal RNA". It matches the Rfam family "Bacterial small subunit ribosomal RNA", at positions 29 to 507 of the family's 1533-position model. The record is from RNAcentral.
AACGAACGCUGGCGGCAUGCCUAACACAUGCAAGUCGAACGAGACCUUCGGGUCUAGUGGCGCACGGGUGCGUAACGCGUGGGAACCUGCCCUUAGGUUCGGAAUAACUCCCCGAAAGGGGUGCUAAUACCGGAUAAUGUCUUCGGACCAAAGAUUUAUCGCCUUUGGAUGGGCCCGCGUUGGAUUAGCUAGUUGGUAGGGUAAAAGCCUACCAAGGCGACGAUCCAUAGCUGGUCUGAGAGGAUGAUCAGCCACACUGGGACUGAGACACGGCCCAGACUCCUACGGGAGGCAGCAGUGGGGAAUAUUGGACAAGGGGCGAGAGCCUGAUCCAGCAAUGCCGCGUGAGUGAUGAAGGCCUUAGGGUUGUAAAGCUCUUUUACCCGGGAUGAUAAUGACAGUACCGGGAGAAUAAGCUCCGGCUAACUCCGUG